Grammomys surdaster is the source of this 133-nucleotide small nucleolar RNA. RefSeq annotates it as small nucleolar RNA SNORA17. Lineage: Eukaryota; Metazoa; Chordata; Mammalia; Rodentia; Muridae. The record is from RefSeq and is a predicted model, not a curated record. The transcript has a single exon.
UCUUCCCCUAGAGGUGUUUCAGUGUGUGGCUGCUGUGUCACAUGUGCGUCAGUAGGUGGCAGAGAGGAGAGAGGCUAUGGCUAUGCUCAGUGUUCUGACCUAUGAACAUAUGAAUGAUUCAAAGCCCAAUAUU